AUUGAACGCUGGCGGCAGGCCUAACACAUGCAGGUCGAGCGGAUGAAGGGAGCUUGCUCCUGGAUUCAGCGGCGGACGGGUGAGUAAUGCCUAGGAAUCUGCCUGGUAGUGGGGGAUAACGUCCGGAAACGGGCGCUAAUACCGCAUACGUCCUGAGGGAGAAAGUGGGGGAUCUUCGGACCUCACGCUAUCAGAUGAGCCUAGGUCGGAUUAGCUAGUUGGUGGGGUAAAGGCCUACCAAGGCGACGAUCCGUAACUGGUCUGAGAGGAUGAUCAGUCACACUGGAACUGAGACACGGUCCAGACUCCUACGGGAGGCAGCAGUGGGGAAUAUUGGACAAUGGGCGAAAGCCUGAUCCAGCCAUGCCGCGUGUGUGAAGAAGGUCUUCGGACUGUAAAGCACUUUAAGUUGGGAGGAAGGGCAGUAAGUUAAUACCUUGCUGUUUUGACGUUACCAACAGAAUAAGCACCGGCUAACUUCGUG
This 484-nucleotide ribosomal RNA is filed under the name uncultured bacterium. RNAcentral describes it as "partial 16S ribosomal RNA". It matches the Rfam family "Bacterial small subunit ribosomal RNA", at positions 30 to 507 of the family's 1533-position model. The record is from RNAcentral.